GACUCAUGAAUUCACCCACAGCAGGCAAUGGUUCCCAUAAAGGGUUGGAGCACAUCUCCUCAUUUGCUUCGCAGAGGCGACGCAAGAAGCUCCGGGCCCCAAGUUGUCAAUUGAUCUCUCACCAUAUCAAGUUUCUUCUGCAAAAUGGCACACUCGUCGCGACUUUCGACGUAUUGUGCUUGAAGCACCUCGUGGUCUUUCUUGGCUUGAAGGAGCUUGGUAUUCAGAAUCUGUACUUCAUUGGAGCUUGUCAUCACCUUAAAAUCUUCUUUCGGAGGAGUGCUAGUAUGCUCAAAAUUUUCCAUUUCGUUUUUUUAUCAAAAGCAAUGCCAACCUCCAAGCUUACCUAUCG
RNAcentral lists this long non-coding RNA (352 nucleotides) under Lotus japonicus. Its description in RNAcentral is "long non-coding RNA (LJAP_LNC001069)". The record is from RNAcentral. Lineage: Eukaryota; Viridiplantae; Streptophyta; Magnoliopsida; Fabales; Fabaceae.